This 140-nucleotide small nucleolar RNA is filed under the name Sorex araneus (European shrew). RNAcentral's name for it is "Small nucleolar RNA SNORA29 (ENSSARG00000016413.1)". It matches the Rfam family "Small nucleolar RNA SNORA29". Rfam says of the family: ACA29 is a member of the H/ACA class of snoRNA that guide the sites of modification of uridines to pseudouridines. The record is from RNAcentral. Lineage: Eukaryota; Metazoa; Chordata; Mammalia; Eulipotyphla; Soricidae.
UUUCCCAUUUGACUACCACAUUUUCUCCUACUGAUAGAUUUUAGUGGCUAUGUUUAUGGGAUAAAGUGAAACUGCCGGGAUCUGAAGGGGGAGGAUUUCUCUGUGUCCUCCUCCUAUAUGAAACGGCUGGACAGAAAAAG